UGUAAUGCGAUUUGCAGAACUCGUGAGUCAUCGAAUYUUUGAACGCAAGUUGCGCUCGCGGGAAAUCCUGCGAGCACGUCUGUUUGAGUGUC
RNAcentral lists this ribosomal RNA (92 nucleotides) under Corallina sp. 2015-SOA. Its description in RNAcentral is "partial 5.8S ribosomal RNA". It matches the Rfam family "5.8S ribosomal RNA", at positions 61 to 153 of the family's 154-position model. From Rfam's summary of the family: 5.8S ribosomal RNA (5.8S rRNA) is a component of the large subunit of the eukaryotic ribosome. It is transcribed by RNA polymerase I as part of the 45S precursor that also contains 18S and 28S rRNA. The record is from RNAcentral. Lineage: Eukaryota; Rhodophyta; Florideophyceae; Corallinales; Corallinaceae.